This 497-nucleotide ribosomal RNA is filed under the name uncultured bacterium. RNAcentral describes it as "partial 16S ribosomal RNA". It matches the Rfam family "Bacterial small subunit ribosomal RNA", at positions 28 to 507 of the family's 1533-position model. The record is from RNAcentral.
GACGGACGCUGGCGGCGUGCCUAAUACAUGCAAGUUGAGCGAUGAAGCUUGGUGCUUGCACCAAUUUGAAGAGCAGCGAACGGGUGAGUAACGCGUGGGGAAUCUGCCUUUGAGCGGGGGACAACAUUUGGAAACGAAUGCUAAUACCGCAUAAUAACUUUAAACAUAAGUUUUAAGUUUGAAAGAUGCAAUUGCAUCACUCAAAGAUGAUCCCGCGUUGUAUUAGCUAGUUGGUGAGGUAAAGGCUCACCAAGGCGAUGAUACAUAGCCGACCUGAGAGGGUGAUCGGCCACAUUGGGACUGAGACACGGCCCAAACUCCUACGGGAGGCAGCAGUAGGGAAUCUUCGGCAAUGGACGAAAGUCUGACCGAGCAACGCCGCGUGAGUGAAGAAGGUUUUCGGAUCGUAAAACUCUGUUGGUAGAGAAGAACGUUGGUGAGAGUGGAAAGCUCAUCAAGUGACGGUAACUACCCAGAAAGGGACGGCUAACUACGUG